This 595-nucleotide ribosomal RNA is filed under the name uncultured Bacteroidota bacterium. RNAcentral's name for it is "bacterial SSU rRNA". It matches the Rfam family "Bacterial small subunit ribosomal RNA", at positions 122 to 715 of the family's 1533-position model. The record is from RNAcentral. Lineage: Bacteria; Pseudomonadati; Bacteroidota.
CAACCUGCCGUCUACUCUUAGACAGCCUUCUGAAAGGAAGAUUAAUACAAGAUGGCAUCAUGAGUCCGCAUGUUCACAUGAUUAAAGGUAUUCCGGUAGACGAUGGGGAUGCGUUCCAUUAGAUAGUAGGCGGGGUAACGGCCCACCUAGUCUUCGAUGGAUAGGGGUUCUGAGAGGAAGGUCCCCCACAUUGGAACUGAGACACGGUCCAAACUCCUACGGGAGGCAGCAGUGAGGAAUAUUGGUCAAUGGGCGAGAGCCUGAACCAGCCAAGUAGCGUGAAGGAUGACUGCCCUAUGGGUUGUAAACUUCUUUUAUAAAGGAAUAAAGUCGGGUAUGCAUACCCGUUUGCAUGUACUUUAUGAAUAAGGAUCGGCUAACUCCGUGCCAGCAGCCGCGGUAAUACGGAGGAUCCGAGCGUUAUCCGGAUUUAUUGGGUUUAAAGGGAGCGUAGAUGGAUGUUUAAGUCAGUUGUGAAAGUUUGCGGCUCAACCGUAAAAUUGCAGUUGAUACUGGAUAUCUUGAGUGCAGUUGAGGCAGGCGGAAUUCGUGGUGUAGCGGUGAAAUGCUUAGAUAUCACGAAGAACUCCGAUUG